GACAACCAGGGCUACAAGUAGAACACAAAACAACGUGACAUUAACAGUUGGCAUUCAUGAGCUUUUAUUGACAAAUGGCAACAAAUUUAAAAAAGUCAGCCAAGCAAGAACCUAAUAAUAAUGAAUUUAUAUGAAUGCUGUAAGUACAUACAUUUUUUUCUCACAAUGUUUAACAGGGGUUAAAAGUCCAAAACACACCAGUGUCCCGAUGGGACUCAUUGGGUUUGACUUCCUCAUGGUAUUAAAAAUCAUUUAAGUCUGAUUCAUUUUACAGAAUUAUACAAAAUACUUUUCAAGUUCAGUAAAAACAUAUAUCAAAAUAAUUGUUCCUGAGGCCUCAGAGUGUGGCGCAGUGUAUCGCAACUCCUUGUGGUUGGCCGGGCGCCUCCAGGCUGACUCCGGUCGUCAGUUCAACGGUUUUUCCUCUGACACAUUGGUGCACUUGGCUUCCGAGGUUAAACGGGCGGGUGUUAAGAGGCGUGGUUUGGCGGGUCAUGUUUCGGAGGACACAUGACUCGACCUUCGCCUCUCCCGAGCCCGUUGGGAAGAUGCAGCGAUGAGACAAGAUCGGAAUUGGAUCGCAAUUGGAUAUCGCUAAACUGGGGAGAAAAGGGUCGUUGUCCUGUUGGAAGGUGAACCUACAACCCAGUCUGAGAUGGAAAACAUCCCCACAGUUUGAUGCUGCCACCACCAUGCUUCAACGUAGGGAUGAUGCCAAUUCCUUCGACCUCAUGGCUUGGUUUUUGCUCUGACAUGCACUGUCAACUGUGGGAUCUUAUAUAGACAGGUGUGUGCCCUUCCAAAUCAUGUCCAAUCAAUUUAAUUUACCACAGGUGCACUCCAAUCAAGUUGUAGAAACUGUAUUCUGUAUAAC
RNAcentral lists this long non-coding RNA (874 nucleotides) under Salmo salar (Atlantic salmon). RNAcentral's name for it is "lncRNA (ENSSSAG00000090410.1)". Lineage: Eukaryota; Metazoa; Chordata; Actinopteri; Salmoniformes; Salmonidae. The record is from RNAcentral.